This 76-nucleotide transfer RNA is filed under the name Pithovirus LCPAC304. RNAcentral describes it as "tRNA-Lys". It matches the Rfam family "tRNA". From Rfam's summary of the family: Transfer RNA (tRNA) molecules are approximately 80 nucleotides in length. Their secondary structure includes four short double-helical elements and three loops (D, anti-codon, and T loops). The record is from RNAcentral. Lineage: Varidnaviria; Bamfordvirae; Nucleocytoviricota; Megaviricetes; Pimascovirales; Pithoviridae.
GCUUCCGUAGCUCAGUAAGGUAGAGCGUUCGGCUCUUUUGACCGAAUUGUCGGGGGUUCGACUCCCUCCGGUAGCU